GAGUUUGAUCAUGGCUCAGGACGAACGCUGGCGGCGUGCUUAACACAUGCAAGUCAAGGGGGCCCAGCAAUGGGCAACCGGCGAACGGGUGCGUAGCACGUGAGCAACCUUCCGAAAUAUGGGGGAUAGCCGGCCUAACGGCCGAGUAAUACCGCAUACGCUCUCGAUGAGGCAUUUCAUUGAGAGGAAACCUACGGGGUAUUUCGAGGGGCUCGCGGCCUAUCAGCUAGUUGGCGAGGUAACGGCUCACCAAGGCAACGACGGGUAGCUGGUCUGAGAGGAUGGCCAGCCACAUUGGGACUGAGAUACGGCCCAGACUCCUACGGGAGGCAGCAGUGGGGAAUCUUGCGCAAUGGCCUAACGGCUGACGCAGCGACGCCGCGUGUGGGAUGAAGGCC
Molecule: ribosomal RNA, 398 nt
Filed under: uncultured bacterium
Lineage: Bacteria
Description: bacterial SSU rRNA
Rfam family: Bacterial small subunit ribosomal RNA
Source: RNAcentral